This 451-nucleotide ribosomal RNA is filed under the name uncultured bacterium. Its description in RNAcentral is "bacterial SSU rRNA". It matches the Rfam family "Bacterial small subunit ribosomal RNA", at positions 354 to 796 of the family's 1533-position model. The record is from RNAcentral.
GUGGGGAAUUUUGCGCAAUGGGGGAAACCCUGACGCAGCAACGCCGCGUGGGUGAUGAAGGCCCUUGGGUCGUAAAGCCCUGUCGGGUGGGAAGAAUCCCCCGUCGGCGAAUAGUCGGCGGGGAUGACGGUACCACUAAAGGAAGCACCGGCUAACUCUGUGCCAGCAGCCGCGGUAAUACAGAGGGUGCAAGCGUUGUUCGGAAUCACUGGGCGUAAAGCGCGUGUAGGCUGCCGAUUGUGUCGAGUGUGAAAGCCCUCGGCUUAACCGAGGAAGUGCACUCGAAACUGGUCGGCUUGAGUACCGGAGAGGAAGGUGGAAUUCCCGGUGUAGAGGUGAAAUUCGUAGAUAUCGGGAGGAACACCAGUGGCGAAAGCGACCUUCUGGACGGAUACUGACGCUGAGACGCGAAAGCGUGGGGAGCAAACAGGAUUAGAAACCCCAGUAGUCC